AUGAACGCUAGCUACAGGCUUAACACAUGCAAGUCGAGGGGCAGCAUGAAGUUUGCUUGCAAACUUUGAUGGCGACCGGCGGAUGGGUGAGUAACGCGUAUCCAACCUGCCCCCUUCCCGGGCACAGCCCUUGGAAACGAGGAUUAACUCCCGAUGGUGUCAGUCAGGCGCAUGCCUUUCUAACCAAAGAUUUAUUGGUAAUGGAUGGGGAUGCGUGACAUUAGGUAGUAGGUGAGGUAACGGCUCACCUAGCCGACGAUGUCUAGGGGUUCUGAGAGGAAGGUCCCCCACACUGGAACUGAGACACGGUCCAGACUCCUACGGGAGGCAGCAGUGAGGAAUAUUGGUCAAUGGCCGAGAGGCUGAACCAGCCAAGUAGCGUGAAGGAUGAAGGUUCUAUGGAUUGUAAACUUCUUUUAUACGGGAAUAACAUCACCUACGUGUAGGUGCCUGCAUGUACCGUAUGAAUAAGCAUCGGCUAACUCCGUG
Molecule: ribosomal RNA, 489 nt
Filed under: uncultured bacterium
Lineage: Bacteria
Description: bacterial SSU rRNA
Rfam family: Bacterial small subunit ribosomal RNA
Source: RNAcentral